This 723-nucleotide ribosomal RNA is filed under the name Streptomyces toxytricini. RNAcentral describes it as "bacterial SSU rRNA". It matches the Rfam family "Bacterial small subunit ribosomal RNA", at positions 8 to 747 of the family's 1533-position model. Lineage: Bacteria; Bacillati; Actinomycetota; Actinomycetes; Kitasatosporales; Streptomycetaceae. The record is from RNAcentral.
AGAGUUUGAUCCUGGCUCAGGACGAACGCUGGCGGCGUGCUUAACACAUGCAGGUCGAACGAUGAACCUCCUUCGGGAGGGGAUUAGUGGCGAACAGGUGAGUAACACGUGGGCAAUCUGCCCUUCACUCUGGGACAAGCCCUGGAAACGGGGUCUAAUACCGGAUACGACUGCGGAAGGCAUCUUCCGCGGUGGAAAGCUCCGGCGGUGAAGGAUGAGCCCGCGGCCUAUCAGCUUGUUGGUGGGGUAAUGGCCUACCAAGGCGACGACGGGUAGCCGGCCUGAGAGGGCGACCGGCCACACUGGGACUGAGACACGGCCCAGACUCCUACGGGAGGCAGCAGUGGGGAAUAUUGCACAAUGGGCGAAAGCCUGAUGCAGCGACGCCGCGUGAGGGAUGACGGCCUUCGGGUUGUAAACCUCUUUCAGCAGGGAAGAAGCGAAAGUGACGGUACCUGCAGAAGAAGCGCCGGCUAACUACGUGCCAGCAGCCGCGGUAAUACGUAGGGCGCAAGCGUUGUCCGGAAUUAUUGGGCGUAAAGAGCUCGUAGGCGGCCAGUCACGUCGGAUGUGAAAGCCCGAGGCUUAACCUCGGGUCUGCAUUCGAUACGGGCUGGCUAGAGUGUGGUAGGGGAGAUCGGAAUUCCUGGUGUAGCGGUGAAAUGCGCAGAUAUCAGAGGAACACCGGUGGCGAAGGCGGAUCUCUGGGCCAUUACUGACGCU